ACUCAUCCCCAACAGUAGAGAGGCAGUUACCGCUCGGGCCACUUACUAACUGUUGGAAACGUGCGUCCAUUUUCACAGACGGACCGGGAUGCCUCCGAGCCCAGUCGGAGAAAAGCCCGGCUCGAUGACAAACCUCUGAACUUUCACUCCUAAAGCAAACACGUCGCUGGGAAGGUGAGUGUAAACAAAGUCCUGUUCAGUGCUGUAAGAAACACAUUGUUGGUGCUCUCAUAUUUGCAGUUCUCUUUGUGUGUGUGUGUGUGUGUGUGAGAGAGAGAGAGAAGAGAAAAGAAGAGUGGAAGAAAAAGGGGAUGAAUAUGUCAUCAGUUGGAUUUUCCAUUAAAGUUAAAGAGGCCAGAUUGCUCCCAGCCAGCCCCGCCCCAUCCCGCCACGGCCAAACGGCGGCGCCGAGUGGCAAAACAAUGUGCACACACACACACGCGCGCACGCCCGCCUGCAAACACACACACCCUAAGGUAUAAUGAAUAGAAACAUAAUCUCAGAAUUCAAACAAUGAAUGCUUUGUGACUUUUAAUGAGUGAAAGAAUGACAUCUUUAUUUCUUCUUGGGGAUUAAAGCGUAAAAUCACAGCUGCCGUUUGAGUUCAGAUUCCAUCGGUCACAUUUCCCCCACAAACAAUGGAUGAAAGUUACAUGUCAAACCAUAAAUAAUUGUAUAGAUGCACAAACCUACACAAUACGUAAGAUGAAAUCAAGUCACCCUCUUUCUGAGUAUAAAGAUUUUUAGCAGCAUAAAACAUGCAUCCUAAAGUUGUUGUGUUUUUUUUUUGGAGGGGUGGAGCAUAAUAUGAAAAUAAAUGUGACUCUGUUCCUUUUCUGUCUUAAGCCUUACAGUAUAAUAAUAACACUUCACUAUGCAAUUUACAGCAAUUUUGUAAAUAGAAGUAAUUUGUGUUAAAGAUGCAGCAUGUCACUUAUUGAUUUGUUUUUCUACAUAUGUUAAAAUCAUUAAGUUGUGACUGUGUAACAUAAGAGAUAAUUUGUGAAAAACAAACAGCUGCCAACCACUCUGGUGCUCAACCCUCCUACUUGCUCUAUGCUAAGCUACAGCUGGCUCACCACAACAUAGCCUGUCACGAAUGCUAAGGCUAGUUAGCAUGGCCACUGGUGACGGCGGAGAAACGGUUUUCCUUUAACGGUAAGUUGUUUUUCCACCAUUAGCACACUGAGCAGAAUACAGAAGGUUGGUUUUGAUUGACAGCACUAAGGCCCUCCUCUUGGCUCUGAUUGGUUGUUUCUAACUGGGGGCGGGGCAGCUCUGCAGACUGCAGUAGCACCUCCGGGUGGAGGUGGAGGAGCUCGAUGUCUUCAGAGAUCAUCUGUCUCAUACUGUCUGACUCUUUGCAAGACUUGAGGUGUAAAAAGGUGAAAGGGAGAGAAGGGGAGCCUGGUGGGCAGAGAGUCAGAGUCAGAUUCUCUCCUAUUGGUCAACAUCAAGAUCCCAGCUCCUCACACACACAAAACUUUAUUGAAAUCUCCCUUUUCAUUUCCCUUUGUUGUUGUUGUUUUUUUUUUUUUUUUAACUCUUAGCAUACGCAGUCUCCAAGCUGCCAAUUUGCAACACUGCAAUACCCACCCUGCACCAGGAGAUGGCAGAUUGUCAACAGUAACAACAUCAAAAUUCCAAAGAAGAAGGCAAAGCAGGCGAAACAAUCACAGCUCAUCUUUUCUCUGGCCUUUUCGGUCUUAAACUUCUUCAGCCUAUCUGUUUAAGAUGGUCAGAAAAGAGCGAGACAUGUAUGAAAAAAAACCAUUUAAAAUGCUUCAUUGUUUUUUUUUUAUUUUUAGUGCAGAAAGUGAUAAUGGCCAUGUGGAAAAUGGGCCUCUGUGUCACUGUCUUUAAUGUCUUUGCAAGACAGUGCAAAGCUCAAAGCUAACUAAGCGUGUAAGUUUAUUAAAGUAAAGUAAUAACAAUAUAGCAACACUGCUACUACUUCUACCUCUGCUAGUAGUAAUAAACUGCUACUAAUAAUAAAUUACUGUCAACGUCGCCCCGCCAUUUAGGGUUUUUUUAUUACUUUUGUUUCAUCCUUCUGCUGAUUUGUUGAAAUUUCCUAGGAAGUAAUCCAAUACUGAUUCUGACUGAUGUUGCAACAACCUGACAGAGACACAAUGCAGUCAUCUUUUCUACUGUUGAGAGAAGGAGGUUUCACAGUAGUUCGGUUGUCUUUUUUUCCAUCUAAUUUAUAGAGCCUAGAAGCAAGAAUUUGUCCAAGUUUUCAACUUCACUGAACCCCGGUAAUGAUCUAUCGCUCGUUCUCCAACAGAAUUAUGGCUCAGAGCAAAUAAGCAUGCAUGGUUUAUUAAGCUGUGGGAAUGUUUUUUAACAACCUCCAUUUUUAUUUUGCCCUCGGGCGUCCAAUGAGCUCCAUACAUACGGCUGGAUGGUGUUUUUCUGUUGAAAUCCAUGGUGGUAACUUGAAAACAAAGAAACAAACGGGGGGUGGUGGGGUGGGGGGGAGGACCUGUGGUUGUUAAAAGCAAAUGUUCCCGGUCUAUCCUUUAGCUGUCAGCCUACAAAACCUUUAAGGCUAAUUUUUAAAUAGUAACUUGGAGGGAUGGAUGAGAAAUCAGAUAGUGACAAGAAUGGUCAGAUUUUCAGCUUGACUGGCUCUGAACAGACACCAGAGAGACAGAAACUUUAAAAUAAUUCAGUCUUUUGCCAGUUAGUGAACGGUAGAAGUGGGCGGAUCGAUCCACAAUAUCGAUAAUAUCGAUACACCAAAUCAGUAUCGGAUAGAUUCUAGAGUUUAUGCAAUAGUUUAGAGAGUUUACUUUAGAUUCAGAUUCGCUCUUCAUAUUUUAAUUCAUGUUUGUAUUGCAGUUUUUCCAACUCUACCGCUAAAAUAAUUUUGUUUUGACGUGCUUUUAAUGAUACUGUUUUGCGAUGUAUUUAGGAAGUGCACACAAAUCAUGAUAAUAUUAAUUAAGUAUUUUGUAGAUAACUACUAACUUUGCCCAAAUCCUGUCCUAGGUUUGAACAAAAUAAUUCAAAGGGAAAAAACCCCACAAACCUAAAUAUCAGAGGUUUGACGAUUUAAUCUAACUUGAAAAGUUUCGGUAUCAUUAGUAUUGGCGAUACACACUGGUGAUUUACUUGGUAUCGGAUCAAUACCAGAAUAUUGACCCCUUCCUAAAAUAACAGCCCAAGUCCCCAGCUCUUUCUUUCCAAAAGAUGUUUUAGGGGGGGAAAAAAAUCAUUUUUGGCAAAAAAAAUGGCCAUUAUUUUAGGAAGGUGACAAUAUGCAGAAUCACACAGGACCCAACAUAAACGCCAAUAGCUUUCACUUGCAACCAAACUUCAGUAUCCAUGUCAACGCCUAAUGAAGUAGUUUACAGAUCAGGAAGGUUUUCGAAAUCAAGUCAGAAAAUGCCAGAAGAUGUAAAAAGUUAUUUAAAAACCUAAACAUAUUUUGUGCCACAUUUCGGCACAUCUAUGUGGUUCCUUUAGGCUUCGUGACUAAACGAGCAGAUAACAGGAAGGCUCAAUUAAGUUUUAUCCUUUUGAGCUUCUCUCUUCCAUGCUACGGGACACGCUGGCUUCACAAAUGUUGGCAACCUUUUUAGAAACCUCAGAGUUAAAGUAAGUAUCCAAACUCAAUGCACAUCGGUAAAGCCAUUGGUAACCCUAGCAAUGCUAACUGCUAUUAUAAGACGGUGCAGACAGUUUAAAAUGUCUACUCUGUUGUGACGGCUUUGAAAUAUUACGGUGACUCCUCUCUCACUCAGUCACAGUACGGUCGCCCCUGCUCCUAAUAUUACUGAUUAAUGAACGUUCAUGUCAUGGAGGAUGGAAACAUGUAUUCUCAACACUGUUCUCCUGUUAUAGCGCUAAACGAGAAAUUCAGCUAUGGCUGGUUUCAGCAGGUCCAACCAGAAAUUACCAAAGAAAAAAUGAGAUUGGAGAAAUUCUGAUUGGUUCAUCUCUAGUAGUUUGUAGCUAUUUGGACAGAGAAGCCACAUAAUUAUGUAAAAAUGCCAACAGUCGUUCUAAAAUUAGCUUUGGCUAGAGGCAACGGUGUAGUUAGGGCAUCCUCCAUUGAACGAAUAGUUUCUCUAGACAAAUAAGGUCUAGAAAAUAACCAGCUGCAGUGAUGAAAGUUACAUUUCUCAUUUUUACAUAACGUCUUCUUCCAUUUACUCGUAAAUAAUAAUAAUUAAAAAAAAGCUUGUUGAUAAUAGGUUUCAAUACUGUUGGUACUCUCUAAGAUUAAACGAUCCAGAAGGCCGCUUAAACAGACGUAAAGCUUCGAAGUCUGACCAAAUUCUUGCUUGAGCACAAUCAAUCAAGUUAAGUGACCCAAAAUAGUAUUUUGCUGACAUUUUUUUUCCCCAGUGCAACGGAGGAUGGGAAAUAGAUUACUGACAGGGUAAUCUAUUUCCCAUCUGACAGAUCGUCAGAGUGCCAAAAUUACUGUAAGGUGAUUCUAAGGCGGCCAUAUGUUCCCACACACACAUACACACAGGUGUCAUCACACCUACUCCUUCCUCAGCAUUAGUCACACAGAGUCAGCUCAAGAAGAAAAGGCCCAUAUCCAUCAACAGGAGAGGCCUUUCUAAACACCACGCCAUCCCUCUUAUCAAAACAAUGUUAAAAGCGGUUGACUAGAUUUCAGCGAUGCCAGGAAGCGCACGCAUGCUGCUGAAGUCAUCCCGGGCCCGGUUCACGUCCCGUUGGAGUGACCGGGAGCGUCUGUGUCUGUCCGUGUGUGAGCCUGCGAUCAGAGCAGUGAGCACCGUGACCUGACAGCCGUGUUGAUGGCACAUUGCUUCUCAUCGCACGCUGAAGACUGCAGGAAUGUAAACUCUGUCCGCACUCUGACAUCAAUGCCGUCAGCCCAGUCUGCACUGAAAGAAAUCCACUUUUGGACCUCCGCUCGCUCAGUCGAAAGUACUUCGGUGUUGUUUCUUUUUUGGACGUCGAAAAUUGAGAGCCCAACGCGCGUGUUUGUCGUCUGAGGACGAUUGUUCCUCGUUUUCCUACAGUGUCUGGUGAUGGACUGAUACGAUGUAGGGAAUAAUGGUGAAGUGGAGGAAAAAUGACCUGAAGGUGAAACUGAGACUUUUACCAAACUGAGACAUUUUUGGCAAAACAUCUGUGGAAUCAUAAGACAAUCCGUAACUGCGUUUCCAUUGCGAAUGUGCGCAAAGCUUUGUCAAUGUUACUGUCAAAAAGCCCACAAUUUUACAAUUUAAUUUUUCCAUUAAAUAAGAAAUGCAAUUAAGGUCAUGUGUAUAACAUGCCGCGCCAUCAUCGUCCAGCUACUUCCUGUUGUCGUCUUCGUAGUUUGCACCAGUGGCAACAUGCGGUUGUUGAUCAUGUCACUGGAGUGA
Molecule: long non-coding RNA, 5354 nt
Organism: Xiphophorus hellerii (green swordtail)
Lineage: Eukaryota; Metazoa; Chordata; Actinopteri; Cyprinodontiformes; Poeciliidae
Exons: 2
Source: RefSeq, a predicted model, not a curated record